This is a long non-coding RNA of Acanthopagrus latus (yellowfin seabream), 660 nucleotides long. RefSeq lists it as uncharacterized. The record is from RefSeq and is a predicted model, not a curated record. Lineage: Eukaryota; Metazoa; Chordata; Actinopteri; Spariformes; Sparidae. The transcript is spliced from 4 exons.
GGCGGUGAUCGAUCUUUAUUUUGGCCCCUCUGGCUAGAUUUCAGACACUGUCACUUUCAAAUAAGGGAUGCAUCUGAACUGUGACAGGGAGCUGCCGCAGAAGGCUUAAGUAAAACACCUAAGAAGUCCAACUCCGAGCAGACAGACAGCGCUCAGGGUGAGAGCUGCGCCUGUAAUGAAGUGUCCCAUUGAGUUUGCUGAAGUGGACUUAUCUCCCACAACGUCCCUACUCACGUCUCAGUCUUUCGCCGAGACCUCUCUCUUCUGGAAUCAAUCCCACACCUCAAGCAAACAUCCUCCUCAAUAGCUGGCAGAGUGCUGCAUGAUGCUCAAGAGAGGGUAGCAGAGGUCGUACCAACCCUCCGAGCAGUGCAAAACCCUGGCUACUGAGGUUGCAGAUGUUCCCUGGACCCAACUACUGGCAGGUUGCAACGCCCUUCUGGCGAAACAUCGAGCGGACCACGAGCCCUGGGAUCCAUGCUUCUGAACUUACCCACUGGGAUGUUUCACAAGAGGCCAGCUGGGAAGUCGGAGGGAGCCAAGAGGAAGAGCUGUGACAGGAAGCUCUGGUCUCCUGGAAUGGCAUCAUAAUACAGCGAGAACCAGCCCUCGAUGACACCAUGGAUGAAACCGCAGACAGCAAACCAGCACACAGCCAGG